This 96-nucleotide transfer RNA is filed under the name Oryza coarctata. RNAcentral describes it as "tRNA-Ser". Lineage: Eukaryota; Viridiplantae; Streptophyta; Magnoliopsida; Poales; Poaceae. The record is from RNAcentral.
GGAGAGAUGAUGUGGCUGAGUGGAUUCAAAGUGGAUUGCUAAUCCGUUGCACAAUUUUUUGUACCGAGGGUUCGAAUCCUCUCUUUCCGCCCCCCC